This 957-nucleotide ribosomal RNA is filed under the name Gyrodactylus salaris (gyrodactylosis fluke). RNAcentral describes it as "16S ribosomal RNA". The stretch from base 622 to 897 matches the Rfam family "Bacterial large subunit ribosomal RNA", at positions 2075 to 2645 of the family's 2925-position model. The record is from RNAcentral. Lineage: Eukaryota; Metazoa; Platyhelminthes; Monogenea; Gyrodactylidea; Gyrodactylidae.
UUUAAUUAUAAGCUCAAUCAAGAUUACAUUACCUUUUGCAUCAUGAUUAAAUGACUAAAGUCCUCCAAAGAGAGUAGCUUCGAAACCGUGUGAUCUUACAUGCGCAAAAAGGUGAUUGGGUAAUUCACACACCUUAGCCCAUGUAAGAAGUGAUAAGUUACACGUACACGUUUAUAUCUAAUUAGGGGCCCUAGAUAAGGGUUAUUAUUUUAUUAUAAUGACCUAGAUUAUUUGCUUAUCUAUUAACUAAAGUACAAAUGGAUUAAUAUUAUCCUAAACCUUGUCACAAAGUAACCAUAAGACUAAGGAGCAAUUUAACAGUGCCCCUCAUAGUGCUAACACAUAAAUAAGAUUGUGUUAUAAAUAAGUAUACAAAUAAAGUAAUUUUUUCUCGUAAUAAUCCGAACUGUUUAUUAAAAACAUUUCCUAGCAAAAACUUUACUAGGUAUCCCCUGCUCAUCGUUGGCCAAACCAACAAGAAGCCGCAGUAUUUUGACUGUGCUAAGGUAGCAUAAUUAAUUGCCUCUUAAAUAGGGGAUUGUCUGAAUGGGGUAAUUGGGUUCAACUUAAAAAUUAUUUUGUAAGAAAUUAAUUUGUAGUUGCAGAAUACUACAUUUUUAUAUAAGACGGAAAGACCCUAAGAGCUUAAUUUUUUUUAUUUUGGGCAAAGCUACAUAUUUAUUUAGUUUAUAAACCUAUUGGGAUAAAACUAAAGUUACCUUAGGGAUAACAGGGUUAGAUGUAUUUAGAGUUCUUAUCAAUAUACAUAAUUGCCACCUCGAUGUUGACUUAAAUUUACUUUAUUGUGUAGAAGCUUUAGUAGUAAGCCUGUUCGGCUUUUAAAAUUUUUCAUGAGUUGAGUUAAGACCGGUGUAAGCCAGGUCGGUUCUUAUCUAUAAGUGGUCUACUAUAGUACGAAAGGAUUUAGUAGUAAAUAAUUUAUUAAAAAUUUUUACA